Molecule: microRNA precursor, 84 nt
Filed under: Bombyx mori (domestic silkworm)
Lineage: Eukaryota; Metazoa; Arthropoda; Insecta; Lepidoptera; Bombycidae
Description: mir-2807 microRNA precursor family
Rfam family: mir-2807 microRNA precursor family
Source: Rfam by way of RNAcentral
UCAGCAUCAGUUUGUAUGGAAUGGGAUCGUUUGCCUACGUUUACCGCUAGGGGCGCUGUUCCAACUGCAUACAAAAUUGGGCUA